AUAGGGUCCAAAGACUCCAAAAACCUACCGUGCUCCCUACGUGGAAAACAGUUAGCCCUCGUUGGCAAAGGAAAUCUGAGAGAACUGCGCCCCGGCGCAAAACUUAAACAAAAUA
This 115-nucleotide unclassified non-coding RNA is filed under the name soil metagenome. Its description in RNAcentral is "partial internal transcribed spacer 1". The record is from RNAcentral.